AAAAGCUCAAAUUUGAAAUCUGGCACUUUCAGUGUCCGAGUUGUAAUUUGAAGAAGGUAUCUUUGGGUCUGGCUCUUGUCUAUGUUUCUUGGAACAGAACGUCACAGAGGGUGAGAAUCCCGUGCGAUGAGAUGACCCAGACCUAUGUAAAGUUCCUUCGAAGAGUCGAGUUGUUUGGGAAUGCAGCUCUAAGUGGGUGGUAAAUUCCAUCUAAAGCUAAAUAUUGGCGAGAGACCGAUAGCGAACAAGUACAGUGAUGGAAAGAUGAAAAGAACUUUGAAAAGAGAGUGAAAAAGUACGUGAAAUUGUUGAAAGGGAAGGGCUUGAGAUCAGACUUGGUAUUUUGUAUGUUACUCUUUCGGGGGUGGCCUCUACAGUUUACCGGGCCAGCAUCAGUUUGGGCGGUAGGAGAAUUGCAAAGAAAUGUGGCACUGCCUCGGUAGUGUGUUAUAGUCUUUGUCGAUACUGCCAGCCUAGACUGAGGACUGCGGCUUCGGCCUAGGAUGUUGGCAUAAUGAUCUUAAGUCGCC
This 530-nucleotide ribosomal RNA is filed under the name Lodderomyces parapsilosis. Its description in RNAcentral is "eukaryotic LSU rRNA". It matches the Rfam family "Eukaryotic large subunit ribosomal RNA", at positions 103 to 649 of the family's 3401-position model. The record is from RNAcentral. Lineage: Eukaryota; Fungi; Ascomycota; Pichiomycetes; Serinales; Debaryomycetaceae.